AUUGAACGCUGGCGGCAGGCCUAACACAUGCAAGUCGAACGGCAGCACAGAAGAGCUUGCUCUUUGGGUGGCGAGUGGCGGACGGGUGAGUAAUGUCUGGGAAACUGCCCGAUGGAGGGGGAUAACUACUGGAAACGGUAGCUAAUACCGCAUAACGUCGCGAGACCAAAGUGGGGGACCUUCGGGCCUCACACCAUCGGAUGUGCCCAGAUGGGAUUAGCUAGUAGGUGGGGUAAUGGCUCACCUAGGCGACGAUCCCUAGCUGGUCUGAGAGGAUGACCAGCCACACUGGAACUGAGACACGGUCCAGACUCCUACGGGAGGCAGCAGUGGGGAAUAUUGCACAAUGGGCGCAAGCCUGAUGCAGCCAUGCCGCGUGUAUGAAGAAGGCCUUCGGGUUGUAAAGUACUUUCAGCGGGGAGGAAGGCGGUGAGGUUAAUAACCUUGCCGAUUGACGUUACCCGCAGAAGAAGCACCGGCUAACUCCGUGCCAGCCGCCGCCGUAA
Molecule: ribosomal RNA, 506 nt
Filed under: uncultured bacterium
Lineage: Bacteria
Description: partial 16S ribosomal RNA
Rfam family: Bacterial small subunit ribosomal RNA
Source: RNAcentral